Molecule: small nuclear RNA, 101 nt
Filed under: Mus pahari (shrew mouse)
Lineage: Eukaryota; Metazoa; Chordata; Mammalia; Rodentia; Muridae
Description: predicted gene, 24678 (MGP_PahariEiJ_G0033738.1)
Source: RNAcentral
AUGCUUGCUUCAGCAGCACAGAGACUAACGUUGGGAGGGUACGGAGAUUAGCAUGGCCUUGCACAAGGAUGACACAGAUUUGUGAAGCAUUCCGUUGAAAG